Molecule: long non-coding RNA, 274 nt
Filed under: Nicotiana benthamiana
Lineage: Eukaryota; Viridiplantae; Streptophyta; Magnoliopsida; Solanales; Solanaceae
Description: long non-coding RNA (NBEN_LNC027658)
Source: RNAcentral
UUAUUUACAGUAAAACCAGUCGAUCAACGGUGCAGUCGACAGUUCCGUGCCUUCCCCCUAAUGUUGUCCUCUUGAGGGUACUAGUCUAAAACCCCAUAGAAACUGGUUAAAAUUGUGCAUGCACAUGGUCAAACCUAGUCGGAUGAGUUAUGUUGUCCACGUAAUGAUCCUUUAAGAUAAGCCUUAUCCAAAGUCCAUAGCAUUUUCAUAAUCCCAAAUGGACGCAAUCAUAUUUUGUGCAUUAAUUUUGACAACUAAUGUCGAUAUAUUGAUC